GGAGAGGUGUCCGAGCGGUUGAAGGUGCCUGACUCGAAAUCAGGUGUGGUCACAAGCCACCGUGGGUUCGAAUCCCACCCCCUCCGCCA
This 89-nucleotide transfer RNA is filed under the name Quinella sp. 1Q5. RNAcentral's name for it is "tRNA-Ser". It matches the Rfam family "tRNA". Rfam says of the family: Transfer RNA (tRNA) molecules are approximately 80 nucleotides in length. Their secondary structure includes four short double-helical elements and three loops (D, anti-codon, and T loops). The record is from RNAcentral. Lineage: Bacteria; Bacillati; Bacillota; Negativicutes; Veillonellales; Veillonellaceae.